RNAcentral lists this ribosomal RNA (596 nucleotides) under uncultured bacterium. RNAcentral's name for it is "bacterial SSU rRNA". It matches the Rfam family "Bacterial small subunit ribosomal RNA", at positions 154 to 763 of the family's 1533-position model. The record is from RNAcentral.
AAACGGGGUCUAAUACCGGAUACGACACUCUCGGGCAUCCGAUGAGUGUGGAAAGCUCCGGCGGUGAAGGAUGAGCCCGCGGCCUAUCAGCUUGUUGGUGAGGUAACGGCUCACCAAGGCGACGACGGGUAGCCGGCCUGAGAGGGCGACCGGCCACACUGGGACUGAGACACGGCCCAGACUCCUACGGGAGGCAGCAGUGGGGAAUAUUGCACAAUGGGCGAAAGCCUGAUGCAGCGACGCCGCGUGAGGGAUGACGGCCUUCGGGUUGUAAACCUCUUUCAGCAGGGAAGAAGCGAAAGUGACGGUACCUGCAGAAGAAGCGCCGGCUAACUACGUGCCAGCAGCCGCGGUAAUACGUAGGGCGCGAGCGUUGUCCGGAAUUAUUGGGCGUAAAGAGCUCGUAGGCGGUCUGUCGCGUCGGAUGUGAAAGCCCGGGGCUUAACCCCGGGUCUGCAUUCGAUACGGGCAGACUAGAGUGUGGUAGGGGAGAUCGGAAUUCCUGGUGUAGCGGUGAAAUGCGCAGAUAUCAGGAGGAACACCGGUGGCGAAGGCGGAUCUCUGGGCCAUUACUGACGCUGAGGAGCGAAAGCGUG